This 88-nucleotide transfer RNA is filed under the name Paludibacteraceae bacterium. Its description in RNAcentral is "tRNA-Ser". It matches the Rfam family "tRNA". Rfam says of the family: Transfer RNA (tRNA) molecules are approximately 80 nucleotides in length. Their secondary structure includes four short double-helical elements and three loops (D, anti-codon, and T loops). Lineage: Bacteria; Pseudomonadati; Bacteroidota; Bacteroidia; Bacteroidales; Paludibacteraceae. RNAcentral also lists the same sequence under 2 other names. The record is from RNAcentral.
GGAAAGAUGCUCGAGUGGUUGAAGAGGCACGCCUGGAAAGCGUGUAAACCUCAAAAGGGUUUCCGGGGUUCGAAUCCCCGUCUUUCCG